GGGCCGGUAGCUCAGCCUGGUAUGAGCGCCGCCUUGGCAAGGCGGAGGCCGCGGGUUCAAAUCCCGCCCGGUCCACCA
This 78-nucleotide transfer RNA is filed under the name Thermococcus sp. P6. Its description in RNAcentral is "tRNA-Ala". It matches the Rfam family "tRNA". Rfam says of the family: Transfer RNA (tRNA) molecules are approximately 80 nucleotides in length. Lineage: Archaea; Methanobacteriati; Methanobacteriota; Thermococci; Thermococcales; Thermococcaceae. The record is from RNAcentral.